Diospyros lotus (date-plum) is the source of this 254-nucleotide long non-coding RNA. RefSeq lists it as uncharacterized. The record is from RefSeq and is a predicted model, not a curated record. NCBI's taxonomy places the organism in Eukaryota, Viridiplantae, Streptophyta, Magnoliopsida, Ericales, Ebenaceae. The transcript has 2 exons.
CAGGUACACCGCGCUGGUUAUAUUUCCACACACGCGAGUUCUUUUGGGUUAGCGUGUUAUGACUAGGUGAGGUCGCUCCCACUUGAGGUUUUCUUUACAGGUUGCAGGUUUAGUCUGCCCUGGCUCACUCAGUAAGGGCAAUGGCAAGAUUGGGGAUGGUCCCAGUGAAGUUUAACUUCUCUGUAGAUGGUGUACAGGGCAGGUCGAGUUAGCUUUAUCUUAUGGCUUUUUGUACUUUGAGACUUUGGGGAUUA